RNAcentral lists this ribosomal RNA (406 nucleotides) under uncultured Actinomycetes bacterium. Its description in RNAcentral is "bacterial SSU rRNA". It matches the Rfam family "Bacterial small subunit ribosomal RNA", at positions 354 to 776 of the family's 1533-position model. Lineage: Bacteria; Bacillati; Actinomycetota; Actinomycetes. The record is from RNAcentral. RNAcentral also lists the same sequence under 1 other name.
GUGGGGAAUAUUGCGCAAUGGGCGAAAGCCUGACGCAGCGACGCCGCGUGAGGGAUGACGGCCUUCGGGUUGUAAACCUCUUUCAGCAGGGACGAAUUCAGACGGUACCUGCAGAAGAAGCACCGGCCAACUACGUGCCAGCAGCCGCGGUAAUACGUAGGGUGCAAGCGUUGUCCGGAAUUAUUGGGCGUAAAGAGCUCGUAGGCGGUCUGUCGCGUCGGCUGUGAAAACUUGGGGCUCAACCCCAAGCCUGCAGUCGAUACGGGCAGACUAGAGUGUGGUAGGGGAGACUGGAAUUCCUGGUGUAGCGGUGAAAUGCGCAGAUAUCAGGAGGAACACCGGUGGCGAAGGCGGGUCUCUGGGCCAUAACUGACGCUGAGGAGCGAAAGCGUGGGGAGCGAACAGG